Molecule: ribosomal RNA, 290 nt
Filed under: Babesia microti
Lineage: Eukaryota; Apicomplexa; Aconoidasida; Piroplasmida; Babesiidae
Description: partial 18S ribosomal RNA
Rfam family: Eukaryotic small subunit ribosomal RNA
Source: RNAcentral
CUAAACCCUUCCCAGAGUAUCAAUUGGAGGGCAAGUCUGGUGCCAGCAGCCGCGGUAAUUCCAGCUCCAAUAGCGUAUAUUAAAGUUGUUGCAGUUAAGAAGCUCGUAGUUGAAUUUCUGCCUUGUCAUUAAUCUCGCUUCCGAGCGUUUUUUUAUUGACUUGGCAUCUUCUGGAUUUGGUGCCUUCGGGUACUAUUUUCCAGGAUUUACUUUGAGAAAACUAGAGUGUUUCAAACAGGCAUUUGCCUUGAAUACUACAGCAUGGAAUAAUGAAGUAGGACUUUGGUUCU